This 211-nucleotide ribosomal RNA is filed under the name uncultured bacterium. RNAcentral describes it as "partial 16S ribosomal RNA". It matches the Rfam family "Bacterial small subunit ribosomal RNA", at positions 524 to 734 of the family's 1533-position model. The record is from RNAcentral.
UACGGAGGGUGCGAGCGUUAAUCGGAAUAACUGGGCGUAAAGGGCACGCAGGCGGGCUUUUAAGUGAGAUGUGAAAUCCCCGGGCUUAACCUGGGAAUUGCAUUUGAGACUGGGAGUCUUGAGUACAGUAGGGGGGGGUAGAAUUCCACGUGUAGCGGUGAAAUGCGUAGAGAUGUGGAGGAAUACCGGUGGCGAAGGCAGCCCUCUGGGC